GGCAUAACUUGAUGAUUUGGGUGUUGGU
This 28-nucleotide small RNA is filed under the name Bombyx mori (domestic silkworm). RNAcentral describes it as "ovarian small RNA-17383". The record is from RNAcentral. Lineage: Eukaryota; Metazoa; Arthropoda; Insecta; Lepidoptera; Bombycidae.